AGAACGAACGCUGGCGGCAUGCCUAACACAUGCAAGUCGAACGAGACCUUCGGGUCUAGUGGCGCACGGGUGCGUAACGCGUUGGGAAUCUGCCCUUGGGUUCGGGAUAACAGUUGGAAACGACUGCUAAUACCGGAUGAUGUCUUCGGACCAAAGAUUUAUCGCCCAGGGAUGAGCCCGCGUAGGAUUAGCUUGUUGGUGAGGUAAGAGCUCACCAAGGCGACGAUCCUUAGCUGGUCUGAGAGGAUGAUCAGCCACAUGGGACUGACGACACGGCCCAGGACUCCGUACGGGAGGCAGCAGGUGGGGAAUAGUUCGGACUAAGGUGGGACGAAAGCCUGACU
RNAcentral lists this ribosomal RNA (344 nucleotides) under uncultured soil bacterium. RNAcentral describes it as "bacterial SSU rRNA". It matches the Rfam family "Bacterial small subunit ribosomal RNA", at positions 26 to 388 of the family's 1533-position model. The record is from RNAcentral.